GAAAUGCGAUAAUUAAUGUGAAUUGCAGAAUUCAGUGAAUCAUCGAGUCUUUGCACGCACAUUGCGCCCCCUGGUAUUCCGGGGGGCAUGCCUGUCCGAGCGUCAUUGCUGCCCUCAAGCACGGCUUGUGUGUUGGGCUUCCGUCCCUGGCAACGGGGACGGGCCCAAAAGGCAGUGGCGGCACCAUGUCUGGUCCUCGAGCGUAUGGGGCUUUGUCACCCGCUCCCGUAGGUCCAGCUGGCAGCUAGCCUCGCAACCAAUCUUUUUAACCAGGUUGACCUCGGAUCAGGUAGGGAUACCCGCUGAACUUAAGC
Molecule: unclassified non-coding RNA, 314 nt
Filed under: plant metagenome
Description: partial contains 5.8S ribosomal RNA, internal transcribed spacer 2, and large subunit ribosomal RNA
Rfam family: 5.8S ribosomal RNA (bases 1-105)
Source: RNAcentral